Molecule: ribosomal RNA, 421 nt
Filed under: uncultured bacterium
Lineage: Bacteria
Description: partial 16S ribosomal RNA
Rfam family: Bacterial small subunit ribosomal RNA
Source: RNAcentral
AAUAUUGGACAAUGGGGGCAACCCUGAUCCAGCCAUGCCGCGUGUGUGAAGAAGGUCUUCGGAUUGUAAAGCACUUUAAGUUGGGAGGAAGGGCAGUAAGUUAAUACCUUGCUGUUUUGACGUUACCGACAGAAUAAGCACCGGCUAACUUCGUGCCAGCAGCCGCGGUAAUACGAAGGGUGCAAGCGUUAACCGGAAUUACUGGGCGUAAAGCCAGCGUAGGUGGGUUGGUAAGGUGGAAAUGAAAGGCCUGGGGUCAAACUGGGAACCUCUUUCAAAAACGGUGGGGUUAAGUAACGUAGGGGGGAAGGGAAAUUCCUGUGUAGCGGUGAAAUGCGUAGAUAUAGGAAGGAACACCAGUGGCGAAGGCGACCACCUGGGCUAAUACUGACACUGAGGUGCGAAAGCGUGGGGAGCAAAC